AUUGAACGCUGGCGGCAUGCCUUACACAUGCAAGUCGAACGGCAGCACGGGAGCAAUCCUGGUGGCGAGUGGCGAACGGGUGAGUAAUGUAUCGGAACGUACCUUUCAGUGGGGGAUAACGUAGCGAAAGUUACGCUAAUACCGCAUAUUCUGUGAGCAGGAAAGCAGGGGAUCGCAAGACCUUGCGCUGAUUGAGCGGCCGAUAUCAGAUUAGCUAGUUGGUGAGGUAAAGGCUCACCAAGGCGACGAUCUGUAGCGGGUCUGAGAGGAUGAUCCGCCACACUGGAACUGAGACACGGUCCAGACUCCUACGGGAGGCAGCAGUGGGGAAUAUUGGACAAUGGGGGCGAACCCUCGAUCCAGCCAUGCGCCGUGUGUGAGAAAGGCNCGUGUAGUAGAUACGUA
Molecule: ribosomal RNA, 405 nt
Filed under: uncultured bacterium
Lineage: Bacteria
Description: bacterial SSU rRNA
Rfam family: Bacterial small subunit ribosomal RNA
Source: RNAcentral